CACGUAGGGCGCAAGCGUUGUCCGGAAUUAUUGGGCGUAAAGAGCUCGUAGGCGGCUUGUCGCGUCGGCUGUGAAAACCUGGGGCUCAACCCCGGGCCUGCAGCCGAUACGGGCAAGCUAGAAUUCGGUAGGGGAGACUGGAAUUCCUGGUGUAGCGGUGAAAUGCGUAGAUAUCGGAAGGAACAUCAGUGGCGAAAGCGGCUUCCUGGACCAGAACUGACGAUCAGGCACGAAAGCGUGGGGAGCAAACAGG
Molecule: ribosomal RNA, 253 nt
Filed under: uncultured bacterium
Lineage: Bacteria
Description: partial 16S ribosomal RNA
Rfam family: Bacterial small subunit ribosomal RNA
Source: RNAcentral